Molecule: ribosomal RNA, 245 nt
Filed under: uncultured Rhodocyclaceae bacterium
Lineage: Bacteria; Pseudomonadati; Pseudomonadota; Betaproteobacteria; Rhodocyclales; Rhodocyclaceae
Description: partial 16S ribosomal RNA
Rfam family: Bacterial small subunit ribosomal RNA
Source: RNAcentral
UACUAAGGAGACUGCCGGUGACAAACCGGAGGAAGGUGGGGAUGACGUCAAGUCCUCAUGGCCCUUAUGGGUAGGGCUUCACACGUCAUACAAUGGUCGGUACAGAGGGUUGCCAACCCGCGAGGGGGAGCUAAUCCCACAAAGCCGAUCGUAGUCCGGAUCGCAGUCUGCAACUCGACUGCGUGAAGUCGGAAUCGCUAGUAAUCGUGGAUCAGCAUGUCACGGUGAAUACGUUCCCGGGUCUU